GGGGCUGUAGCUCAGCUGGGAGAGCGCAGGAUUUGCAUUCCUGAGGUCAGGGGUUCGAUCCCCCUCAGCUCCA
Molecule: transfer RNA, 73 nt
Filed under: Candidatus Dadabacteria bacterium
Lineage: Bacteria; Pseudomonadati; Thermodesulfobacteriota; Candidatus Dadabacteria
Description: tRNA-Ala
Rfam family: tRNA
About the family: Transfer RNA (tRNA) molecules are approximately 80 nucleotides in length.
Source: RNAcentral